RNAcentral lists this long non-coding RNA (7027 nucleotides) under Sus scrofa (pig). RNAcentral describes it as "lncRNA (ENSSSCG00000061884.1)". The record is from RNAcentral. Lineage: Eukaryota; Metazoa; Chordata; Mammalia; Artiodactyla; Suidae.
UAACAUUCUGGAAGCUGAAGGUGUACAACACGCUGGUUUGAUGCAUUUGUAUGUUGUGACACGACUAUCACCAACGUGAUCCAGAGCCUCAUCUACUGAGUAAUAGCAUCUAACCACCCAUCAGCUGGCCCAGUGACCCAGCAUAAAUAGAGGUGGCUGGACCCUCCCAGGGCUCUUCCUCCACUUUGGAGCAGAGGGGCAUUUCUGAGGAGAUAGUUGUUAAAAGCAUGGCCUUGGGAGCCAUUUGGAUCAAGACAUGAAUCUUGCUCUCCCGCCCUGCUUGGCUGGCCCUAGGAGGACCACCCCUCUCUCUGAGUCUCCAUUUCUUCAUCUUCAUCAGCCAAGCAGCCAUGACUCCUCCUCCACAACCUCCUCCUGUCAUUACUAUUACGUCUCUCUCUCCUAGGAUGGCUGUGCAGUCUGGCCUGAAGGAGAGAUUCAGGCCGGGGAUAUCAGCUUAUUUUAUUUUAUUUUUGAUUUUAUGUUAUUGGAGUGUAGUUGAUUUACAGUGUUGCAUUAGUUUCAGGUGUACAGCAAAGUGAAUCAGUCAUGCAUAUAAAUCUGUCCAUUCUUUUUUCCCACGUAGUUUAUUACGAACUAUUGAGUAGAUUUUCCCCUGCACUACAGUAGGUUUUUGUUAAUCAUAUAUUUUAUACAGAAGUGUGUGCUGUUGUUCCCACCCUCCCAAUUCUUCCCUCCCCCCUGAUGGUUUUACCUAUGGUAACCAUAAGCUUGGUUUUGAAAUUCGUGUGUUUGUUUCUGUUUUUUUUUUAAUAAGUGCUUUUAUCAUUUUUAUUAGAUUCCACAUAUAAGUGAGAUCAUAUGAUAUUUGUCUUUGUCUGACUUUCUUCACUAGUAUGGUGAUCUCUAGGUCCACCCAUGUUGCUGCAAAUUGCAUUACUUCAUUCUUUUUGAUGGCCGAGUAGUAUUCCAUUGUAUACACAUACCAUAUCUUUUUUAUCCAAUCCUCUGUUGAUUGGCAUUUACAGCUAAUUAAGGACUGCCUGGAAAUACCGUCUUCAUCUCCUGUAACCUUUGUUUUGCGAUGGUACAUUGUGGCCAGUUACACAUCGGGGAAAUACCUCCUCCUCGACCUGCCACAAGCUGUGAGCCUGGAUGGGCCACACCGAGUGUCUAUGGGAAUUUAGGCAAGAGUGGUGCUGGAGAACGUGGCUGCGUCGGACUCUUCAUUUCACUUUCCCAAUGCCUUUGAAAUCUGUCCUUUCUGACAGACUCUGCCCUAGUCCGAGCCUCUGUCCCAUCUUAAUUCAAUGGCUGCAAUUGUUUCCAUCUUACCUUGGAUACACUGAGAAAGCAGAGCCUACAAGGACUUCCCUGCUGCUUUUUUACUUAGGAGUAAUCCCAAGAAUCAGAAAGGAGGGAUGGCAGAGUGGAAGAAGGAACCUCAGUACAGGAGGGUGUAAGUGAGAUCACCACCUUGGGAACCUGAACCCACCAGGGACUUUCUGAAGAGUGGAUCCUGAUUGCCCGGGAGGAGUCUUUAUCCAUGGGCCCCCAUUCUCCACUGGCUGAGGGUGGCUCCCAGAAGCACGCUCUGCUGCACAUUCAGAUCAUUCCUACCUAUGCUUCCUGGCAUUGGUGUCAUUGGAUAGGCCCAGGGGAAGGAUGUAUGUGAGGUUGGGCUGUUAGUGUGAGGAUAGGCAAAGCCCACGUGGGAGUGUCCACCAUGGCUGUGGCCGUGGCUGAACUCAAAGGGGAUGCUGAACAGGUGUGGAGCAGGGCAGCUGAGGUUUCCUGUACAAUCUCCUACCUGUGCACUUCCUUCCUGUACAAUCUCCACCCUCAUCAGGAGGCUCCUUGCUCUUCUCUACACAGGCACUACAGUUAUUAUAUUUUCAAAAUGUAAAAUGGACCUGUCAUUGAUACCUUCCCAAAUGUCAGGGCUUAAAUCUGUUCUAUGGAUAAAAAUCACAGUCUUAAGAUGGCCCAGGGAGAUGCACCAACCUUUGCCACCUCUGCCCACUGCUCCUGUCUCUUCUCCUCUCAUCCCCCCACCUCACUCUCCACAAAUGGGCUACGUGCUUGCCAUGUCAUUCUACACACUGUACCCACAUUGACCACAGGGCCUUUGCUCAUGCAGUUCUUUCUUGCACCAGCAGACCUCUCUUUGUCCUUCACGUCUCAGCUCAAGCAUCGGCUUCUGCAGAGGAGACUUUCAAACCCCUUCUCUGGAAUGGGGUCUUUGGAAAUCUAAACCAUGUUCUCAUGCUACCAACUAAACUGUUAGGUAAAUUAAACAUAAAUCAACGCAGUAAGACAACUGCAAAAAUCCUAAUUGGCCAAUUGAUCUUUCUGGUUACUGGGUCUGAAAAGCUGCUUCUCUGGGACCCUGCCCAUCCCAGGUCCUCCUCUUCUCCUGAGCAUGCUCACUGUCAAGCUGCAUCUUACUGUCGUGGAAUGUCUUAUUCUCUUCCUGAGAUGGGAUGGAUCCAGAGGACAUAUAUUCCUGGUUCUUUGAUUGUAUGUCUUGCCUUUUAUUCGAGGUCUGUGCUUCCCCCACUUCCUAAAGAGCUCGUGCUGGCUGAGGGCCUGGGAUGCCUGCCAGGUGGGUGAGACAUCUGAGCAUGACUCUCUCAGGGAAGCAGAUGGAGAUGUUCCAGUCACCUGAUUUGAACAGAUCACGAAACUUAAGCAGCUUAUGCGCUGGGCUGGAUCUGACACAUGGCUACCACCCCCUUGAACUUGCCAGAACCUGAGAAGCGCCCCAGAUUCGGAGCCUUUCCUGAUGCUUUGCCCGUCGCUUCACCAAUCAAACCACAAAAACAAGUGGAGCUUUGGGCGGAUGAGGAAUGGAACCACACAGGAGUUUCAAAAGCUGGGCCAAAGAGGCCAUGAUGGAGCUGAGCUUUGACCCUCACGGACUCUCAGAGCAAACAGUGGACCAGUUCUCCUCUGCAGUGGUGACCGUCUCCUUUUCAGACACAGAAGGCGAAAGUACCCACAGUUCGAGAGUAGAUUCGUGGAGAUGUGAUAUUAAACCUUAAGGAAUGAAUCUUGCCAAUAACUCAGAGGGUGGAAAGAAUCAGAACGUUUCCAGGGAAGGCGGGAUCUGGCCCAGCUUGGACGUCCGGGUACCGUCUCAGUAACAAGUAGCCAAGGACGACCUCAGCGUGUGGCACAGAGUGGCUGACAUCUCUGCUGUGAGCCUGGGCAUUUCCUACCAUUUUCUCAUCUGUUUAUUCAUGCAAUGUUCACGGAAGGCGCCUAUGUCCUGGGCACCGGGUCUGUGGCACUGAGGGCCAGGGCAUUUUAGAGGAGAAGACACGUGAAUAGCAGGCAGGGGGUGGUAACUAUUAUUUGGGAAUCAAGAACGUGGACAUACCCAGUGCUUGGGGCAGGGGUGAUGCUGCUUUAUCUGGGGGGGUCGGAGAAGGAAUUCAGGCCCCUCCCAGGGGGAGCUGGGACAAGAGCAUCCUGGACUGAGGGACUGUGGGGCCAGGAAAGGGUGGGUUGGACAGGAACAAGAGUGGGGUUUGGAGCUUCACUGGUUCUGCCACUGAUUGUGCAGUGCUUGGACCAGUGACUGUGAGGAUGGGCACGGAUGGGCUAGGAGCUGGGCCCUGGACUUGCAUCCUGGCUCCGCCCCUAACAACAAGACCAGCUGGCAAGUUACUCUGCAAGCUUCAACUUCGCCAUUUGUAAACAUGGGGGAGACCUAUCUUUCAUGCCUCAGAUCUUUGGGCAGAUGAAAUGAGUUAAUUUGUGCAGAGCCCCGAAGCCAGGGCCAGACAUCCUGUGAGCCCAGGAUGAUGUUAGCUUUUCUAUGGGGGCAAGUUGCUUCCCCUCUGUGGGGUUCAGUGCUGCCAUCCACAGAUGGAGGGCUGCCAAGGGAUAGUCUUGCCAGGUGCACAACUCAAAGAUUUUUGGAACUCUGAUGCUAAUUGACAUGUUAUUUUAUGGUCCAUUUGCAUGUUAUUUGCUAUCUGCUGUAUUUGUUAUUGUUGUUGUUUUCCUUUUUUAAAAAAAAUUAAAAAAAAAUUUUUUUAUAGGCUGCCCCAUCACAGUCCUCUUGUGGGAUUUAGCUUCUUGCCCCUGACAUUGAGCCCAGGCAUCCCUCACUUGUCUUUGCUGGAAUUCCACUUCUCUCUGCUUCCCUGGUGGGUUUUCUUCCUCCGGGGAUCUUUACACACCACACCAGUCCACUGAUUUGAUUAAAAACGUUCUCUCCAUAAACCCCAACACACUGGCCAGAGGUCUCUGGAGCAGAAACUUUUAAAAAUGAAAUUUCAAGCCAUUUUCUGUUUGGAGACCAAGUGUCUGGGAAAGAUACCAUUUCAACCAAGGGUCCCCCAAGUCCCUCACAGACAGCCCUGCUUGCGAUUUUGUCCCAGACACCCAUAAAGCUUUGUUCGGCCGCCUGAUUACUGUCCUGGCCACAGUGUCUCAGGCAGUAAGCCACAUGUAAACCCCACCAGUCUCUCCUGAACACAGUGCACUGAGCUCAUCAGUGCUCUGUGGUGCUCACAUUGAACAGGACAAGGGCUUUAGAGUGAAAACUGAAACUGGGGACCUGGUGUCUUGGUACUAGGGAUGCUGAACUUCACCUCCCCAGCUGGGUGGUCAAUUCCACAGGCAUUCUGGUAAGGAGGGGAGAUUGAAAAGGCGGUGCCACCAUUUACGGACUCUGUGACCGACCUGGGUCCCAUAUUUUUUUUUUUGUCUUUUGUCUUUUGUCUUUGUUGUUGUUGUUGUUGUUGUUGUUAUUGUUGCUAUUUCUUGGGCUGCUCCCGCGGCAUAUGGAGGUUCCCAGGCUAGGGGUUGAAUCAGAGCUAUAGCCAUCGGCCUACGCCAGAGCCACAGCAACGCGGGAUCCGAGCCGCAUCUGCAACCUACACCACAGCUCACGGCAACGCCGGAUCCUUAACCCACUGAGCAAGGGCAGGGAUCGAACCCGCAACCUCAUGGUUCCUAGUCGGAUUCGUUAACCACUGCGCCACGACGGGAACUCCCAUAUUUCUUAUCUAUGAAACCUGAGCCUGUAUCUUUGUUUUGAUGCCUCAAUGACAACAUGGGGCUUUAUAAAUUCGUCACUUUUUAUCCUUCAUAACUCAUGUAUGUGCAUAUUUAUCUUGCUAAAUAAAUGCAUGGCUGCCCUUCCAUAUCAGAGCCUGACGAAUCCUCAUCCUACGAAGUCUAGGCAUUUCUUGGUCUGGGAGGAAACAGACCGGCCAAGUGCCUGCAGGUGACUAUGGGACCAGGUAAAGCCUGCAGCGGGUGGACCUUAUAAAGCUGUCUCCCUCUUCCCCCUCCCCCUGGGGAUUACUUAAUUAUCUUCUGUGAGAGCAGAUUUAUACACCUGUAAACGAAUCAUUCCUUAACGAUUCUCUCCUUCCCAGACCACGCGGACCACGAGGCCACUCAUGUUUCAGGCCACCUCCGCAGCUCGUCUGCCCACAUCAGACCUUUCAGAACCGCCAGGCUGGUGGGGUCCACCUGGGUCGGCCCCCCUCUCCCCUGGCCCAUUCCCACCCUGCCCACAGCGAUGUCGUCCAGCACAGGGCUUUGCCUUUUUAUUCCUGAAUCCUCAGCCCUAGUCCCACGGACUGUGGUCUUAUUUAUGUUGGGUGAACACGUGGAAGGUCGAGGAAGCUGCGGGGAGGAAGAACGAACGACUCCCUUCAAGGCCUCCAGAGAAUCCUGUAACUUUCUAGAGUCAGGAUAGCAGAGGCCUGACCUUGCUCCUGGGCCAGGCCUGCAUCCCCUGAGGUCACCCUCCUUGGGGUCACCGACAGCGCGCCCCCGGAGCCGCUCUCGGCUCAAGGUUGAGGCAACAGCGCCACCUCCUGGCCUCGAGGCCGCUGCCGUGGCCUGACUCUGGCGGUCUCGGGCGCCCUCUUGUGGGAAUUCAGAAGCCACCUGGUUGGCUGAGAAGGUCCCUGGGGACUUCUCCACCUUUGCCGUUUGACUCGUGCUGUGGGCCUGCGCUGGAACCAAGCCUAGAAAUCAAGGCUUCAUAGGAGCUUAGGAUGCUGACGAUGAGGCAUAUGAUGUAACCAGCUGCAGGCAUCAAUGGCAUGAAAACUGCGGUGGUGGUGAGGAAAGAACUCCGGAGAAUGAUGGAGAGGAACUGGGAGGUGAAAAGAAGUGGAGGGAGAGGAAGGAGGUGCUAGGAUGACCUCUUUCUGGACUAAAGUCACUGAGAAGGCCACUGGAAAGAGCACGUUGAAUGUAGACAGCCUUUCCCCAGCAGGAGGUCCGGCAUUUCCAGUUACCCUUGUUUGAGCUGUUCUGGAACAGUCCCCGCCCUGAGUCUCCCCUCCACGAUGUUGGAUUAUUGACGACCAACCACUGAUGGCUCUGGCUGGGGCUCAGCUAUAGAAGUAUCUUGGAGGCCUGGGAACGCAAGCCCAGCUUGCAAUGUCCUUCCCUGAAAGGCUUGUUUUGUUUGGGGACAUCUCGUGCCAAUCUGUCCUGCCAAGAAAUGAUUGCUGUUGAACUGUUGGUUUGCAUUGCUGUCAAACACAAUCUUACAAGGAGAGCAAGGGGGCAGCCCCCCCUCGAGAACCAGCUGAGAGAGAAGGCUUUUGACUGGCUGGGACCUUCUCAGAAUCUUCUGGAGAAUUUUUCAAAAAGACACAUCCAGAGUGGCUGAUGAGAAUCACACCCACAGCGCAACUAAACCCUCACCCACAGCACGGAGCAGGUCCUGUCCACCUAUGGGGGCCACAGUCAGCAUCCCCAGGGGACGGGGGAGAAGGGCAAUCAGAGGCCCGGAGCCCCAGGUGUAGCUUUGUUUUGGGCAUAUGCUUGGAUCUCCUCUGUUCCAAAUGCAAGCAGUCGUGCAGGGUCCUGCCUAACACACAAAGGCUAGGAAGAAUGUGGAAACAAUGCCCCAGUAUUUGAGCCAGGUCUAGGCUACAGUAGGGACACUGGGCAAAAUCAGUAGAGAAGUUUGCUUUGCUGUCAUGUCUCUCCAAACACCUGGAGGCAUGAGAAGGUGAAAUUUUAUGCUGCUGGCCUUGUUCUGUUGUUUGUUUCAUUUCUUUCUAAUAAAAAUGAUUUGAAG